UUGGGUUUGAAUACAAAUAAAAUCAUUUCUGGAAAAACUUGUCAUCAUAAUUACAAAUGAUGGAAACUAAUUUUAAGUGUAAUUAGAAGGUUUGUUGCAUCAUAUGGUACAACAAUAUUCGUCUUCAAUUCUUAGCAUUAAAAAGUUCACACAUUGUUCAACUCAAUGGAAGUGUAUGUAAUCCAUUAUGUUUCUACAGUUAUGAAUGCUCCUAGGAUACACUAAAACAUGUAAUGAAUAACUACACAAUUGCAGAACAUGCAGAUUCACAUGCAACGCACUCUCAACCACCAUCAUUCUGAAGUUCCACGAAAGUUGAACUCCCUCAACAAAUUUUCUCGUUUUGCAUUACGUGCAUCAAGGACCCAAUUACAAAUCAUUUCCUGACGGAAUGCUUGAAGCUCGUCCUGAAAUUAAUUUUGAAAAUCAAUUUUCAGUGCAGAAUAAAACUUAUAACUUGUACUCUACUAGUGAAGGGAACAAAUAC
Molecule: long non-coding RNA, 487 nt
Filed under: Phaseolus vulgaris (common bean)
Lineage: Eukaryota; Viridiplantae; Streptophyta; Magnoliopsida; Fabales; Fabaceae
Description: long non-coding RNA (PVUL_LNC000378)
Source: RNAcentral